This 753-nucleotide ribosomal RNA is filed under the name uncultured bacterium. Its description in RNAcentral is "bacterial SSU rRNA". It matches the Rfam family "Bacterial small subunit ribosomal RNA", at positions 8 to 796 of the family's 1533-position model. The record is from RNAcentral.
AGAGUUUGAUCAUGGCUCAGAAUCAACGCUGGCGGCGCGCUUAACACAUGCAAGUCGAACGAGAAAGGGAGCAAUCCUGAGUAAAGUGGCGUACUGGUGAGUAACACGUGGAUAUCUACCUCUUGGUGGGGAAUAACCUGGGGAAACCUGGGCUAAUACCGCAUAAGUUCGUGAGAAGAAAGGCGCAAGUCGCCGAGAGAGGAGUCCGCGGUCGAUUAGGUAGUUGGCGGGGUAAGAGCCCACCAAGCCAAAGAUCGAUAGCCGGCCUGAGAGGGCACACGGCCACACUGGCACUGAAACACGGGCCAGACUCCUACGGGAGGCAGCAGUGGGGAAUCUUGCACAAUGGGGGAAACCCUGAUGCAGCGACGCCGCGUGAGCGAUGAAGCCCUUCGGGGUGUAAAGCUCUUUCGGCAGGAACGAUAAUGACGGUACCUGCAGAAGAAGCUGCGGCUAACUACGUGCCAGCAGCCGCGGUAAUACGUAGGCAGCAAGCGUUGUUCGGAAUUACUGGGCGUAAAGAGUGUGUAGGUGGUGUCGUAAGUUUGGUGUGAAAUCUCCCGGCUUAACUGGGAGGGUGCGCCGAAGACUGCGAUGCUGGAGUAUGGGAGAGGAAAGCGGGAUUCCUGGUGUAGCGGUGAAAUGCGUAGAUAUCAGGAGGAACACCUGCGGUGUAGACGGCUUUCUGGACCAUUACUGACACUGAGACACGAAAGCGUGGGUAGCAAACAGGAUUAGAUACCCUAGUAGUCC